UGCCUCAGUAGCGGCGAGUGAAGCGGCAAAAGCUCAAAUUUGAAAUCUGGCGUCUUUGGCGUCCGAGUUGUAAUUUGAAGAAGGUAUCUUUGGGCCCGGCUCUUGUCUAUGUUCCUUGGAACAGGACGUCACAGAGGGUGAGAAUCCCGUGCGAUGAGAUGACCCGGGUCUGUGUAAAGUUCCUUCGACGAGUCGAGUUGUUUGGGAAUGCAGCUCUAAGUGGGUGGUAAAUUCCAUCUAAAGCUAAAUAUUGGCGAGAGACCGAUAGCGAACAAGUACAGUGAUGGAAAGAUGAAAAGAACUUUGAAAAGAGAGUGAAAAAGUACGUGAAAUUGUUGAAAGGGAAGGGCUUGAGAUCAGACUUGGUAUUUUGCAUGCUGCUCUCUCGGGGGCGGCCGCUGCGGUUUACCGGGCCAGCAUCGGUUUGGAGCGGCAGGAUAAUGGCGGAGGAAUGUGGCACGGCUUCUGCUGUGUGUUAUAGCCUCUGACGAUACUGCCAGCCUAGACCGAGGACUGCGGUUUUUACCUAGGAUGUUGGCAUAAUGAUCUUAAGUCGCCCGUCUUGAA
This 567-nucleotide ribosomal RNA is filed under the name Candida albicans. RNAcentral's name for it is "LSU rRNA". It matches the Rfam family "Eukaryotic large subunit ribosomal RNA", at positions 76 to 658 of the family's 3401-position model. The record is from RNAcentral. Lineage: Eukaryota; Fungi; Ascomycota; Pichiomycetes; Serinales; Debaryomycetaceae.